UACGAAGGGGGCUAGCGUUACUCGGAUUGACUGGGCGUAAAGGGCGCGUAGGCGGUUUGUACAGUCAGACGUGAAAUUCCUGGGCUCAACCUGGGGGCUGCGUUUGAUACGUGCAGACUUGAGUUCGGAAGAGGGUCGUGGAAUUCCCAGUGUAGAGGUGAAAUUCGUAGAUAUUGGGAAGAACACCGGUGGCGAAGGCGGCGACCUGGUCCGAUACUGACGCUGAGGCGCGAAAGCGUGGGGAGCGAACAGG
RNAcentral lists this ribosomal RNA (253 nucleotides) under uncultured bacterium. RNAcentral describes it as "partial 16S ribosomal RNA". It matches the Rfam family "Bacterial small subunit ribosomal RNA", at positions 524 to 776 of the family's 1533-position model. The record is from RNAcentral.